CCGGUAUUUUUUAGGGGAUUUGUAAAAAAAAAUUUGAAGAAUCAUAGUAAACUUACGAAUCAUAAAUUUAAUUAUUUAUUGAUGAUAGAAACGAGUUUCUGACCUAUUAACUUUCGAUGGUAAUUUAGUGGAUUACCAUGGUUUUCAUGGGUAACGGAGAAUUUGGGUUUGAUUCCGGAGAAAAGGCCUGAGAGACGGCCAUUACUUCCAAGGAAGGCAGCAGGCGCGUAAAUUACCCAAUCCCAAUUCGGGGAGGUAGUGACGAGAAAUACUAGUAUUGGUCCCAACGGGAACAAUGAUUGGAAUGAGAACAAUUUAAAAACAUUAACGACUAACAAUUGGAGGGCAAGUCUGGUGCCAGCAGCCGCGGUAACUCCAGCUCCAAGAGUGUAUAUUAAAGUUGUUACGGUUAAAAAGCUCGUAGUUGGACUUGAGGGAUUUAUAUAAAGGGAUUCUAGUUUAAAACUAGAUAUUCUUAUAUAUUUUUUCCUUUCUUUGUAUUUUUUUAAGAUUAUUUAAUGGGGUUAAACUCAUUUUUUAAUCUGGGGAUAGAUAGUUUACUUUGAAAAAAUUAGAGUGUUUAAAGCAGACAUGACAUGUACAAUUGAAUAUUACAGCAUGGGAUAAUUGAAUAAGACAUUAACCUUAAUUUUGUUGGUUUUGAAGGUUAAUAGUAAUGAUUAAAAGGGAUAGUUGGGGUCACUUGUAUUUGAUCGCUAGGGGUGAAAUCCUAUGAUUGAUCAAAGACAAACUACUGCGAAAGCAUUUGACAAGGAUGUUUUCAUUGAUCAAGAACGAAAGUUAGGGGAUCGAAGAUGAUUAGAUACCGUCGUAGUCUUAACCAUAAACAAUGUCGACUUUGGAUUAGGAAAUAUUACAUGGAUGAUUUUCCUAGCACAAUGUGAGAAAUCAUAAGUAUUCAGACUCCGGGGGGAGUAUGGUCGCAAGAGUGAAACUUAAAGGAAUUGACGGAAGGGCACCACCAGGAGUGGAACCUGCGGCUUAAUUUGACCCAACACGGGGAAACUUACCGGGUCCGGACACUUUGAGGAUUGACAGAUUGAUAGCUCUUUCUUGAUUAAGUGCGUGGUGGUGCAUGGCCGUUUUUAGUUGGUGGAUUGAUUUGUCUGGUUAAUUCCGAAAACGAACGAGACCUUAACCUAUUAAAUAGUAUAAUUAAAAUUGAAUGCAAAUUCUUGAAAAUUGG
Molecule: ribosomal RNA, 1207 nt
Filed under: metagenome
Description: SSU rRNA
Rfam family: Eukaryotic small subunit ribosomal RNA
Source: RNAcentral